AUGCAGCCCCGACCCUCACAG
RNAcentral lists this microRNA (21 nucleotides) under Mus musculus (house mouse). RNAcentral's name for it is "mmu-miR-7044-3p". Lineage: Eukaryota; Metazoa; Chordata; Mammalia; Rodentia; Muridae. The record is from miRBase by way of RNAcentral.